CAUUACAUUUUCUUUCUGCAAAUUUUGUAUUUCGUAUUGAAUUAUUAGGUACUGGUGAUCACCUGUAUGACUUUGCAUAGUUAAGGAUCUCAAUAUUUGAGUUACCUUUUAAUUCCUUACAAUCACUCUUACAGGAAGUGGGAUAUCUUGUUGUCUCUAGAAUAGAAAAAGCUGUAGUUGGAAAUAAAACAGUGGUUUGUAAAGCACACUGUUUUAGGAACAACCGUCCCAAAGUGGUAUGAGAUUCUGACAGUCUGUCAGCCUUCAAAUCUAGGAUAAAAAUAUAUUUGUUUAGUCAGUCCAAUAAGUAAAAUUUACAAUGAAUCUACAUUCCUAUUUGUCCUUUGUCUUUUCUUUUUAAACUUGCUAUAUUAUUUUUAAUUUGUGUAAAACAAAAUAGACCAUUUUUUAUUUUGUUCAAUAAUAAUCUGGUACUGACACCAAGGUUUUUGUCUCCGGGUUUAUGGCCUGGAAAUAUUUAAAGCUGCUUUGUGACAAUACUAAUUGUAAAAUGCACAAACUAAUUCAAAUUUGAUUGCUUGAUUAAAACAGUUAUUUAGUAUUGUGAGUGAUUACUGUAGAUACAGAAUUUAAACUUGCUAAAGCCAUCCUGCUUUUUUGUCAUUUUUAUAGAAACACGUAACUAUUCAAUUGGGAGAGUCAGUACCACUGCUGACUCAAUGCAACAGAUGUUGCACCUUGUUCCAUUGUCCUUUUUGUAGUGGUAAUGUUUUUAAGCCCUCCAAACUGUAAAAAUUAAAAAAACAUUUGAAGAGUCAUUUCAAGAAGGCAGUUCUCCAUGAAGUAACAUGACAAAAUGAAUAUCUUCAUGCACAUGGAUACUAAUUAAAAACAAAAAUCUUCCACAGCAGUUGGUUGGGUCAGUGGAUUGUGGAGUAUUCAUGUUGAUGUAUGCUCUGCACCUUGUCUUGGAUGCGCCAUUUGACUUCACAGCUGUAAGCUUUCACUUAUGUAUCUGAUUAUUUGUUAAUAUCUGUUACUG
This is a long non-coding RNA of Erpetoichthys calabaricus (reedfish), 1003 nucleotides long. RefSeq lists it as uncharacterized. The transcript is spliced from 4 exons. The record is from RefSeq and is a predicted model, not a curated record. Lineage: Eukaryota; Metazoa; Chordata; Cladistia; Polypteriformes; Polypteridae.